CCAGUGAUAAAAUUAAACGGCCGCGGUACCCUAACCGUGCGAAGGUAGCAUAAUCACUUGUUCCCUAAAUAGGGACUCGUAUCAACGGCAUCACGAGAGUUGUACUGUCUCCCCUUUUUAAUCAGUGAAACUGACCUCCCCGUGAAGAGGCGGGGAUACCUAUACAAGACGAGAAGACCCCAUGGAGCUUUAAACCCAAUGACAAUCUCUAUUGAUUUCACCUAAAAAACAAAGAGAAAAUGCCUAUUGGUUUUAGGUUGGGGUGACCGCGGAGAAGAACUAAACCUCCAUGACGAACGGGACCUAUCCUAAUCUAUGAGUUACUACUCUAGGAAUCAAUAAUUUGACGUAAAAUGAUCCGGCAAAACCGAUCAACGAACCAAGUUACCCUGGGGAUAACAGCGCAAUCCACUUCAAGAGCCCCUAUCGACAAGUGGGUUUACGACCUCGAUGUUGGAUCAGGGUAUCCCAGUGGUGCAGCCGCUACUAAAGGU
This 494-nucleotide ribosomal RNA is filed under the name Limnonectes utara (Larut fanged frog). RNAcentral's name for it is "partial large subunit ribosomal RNA". It matches the Rfam family "Bacterial large subunit ribosomal RNA", at positions 1863 to 2572 of the family's 2925-position model. The record is from RNAcentral. Lineage: Eukaryota; Metazoa; Chordata; Amphibia; Anura; Dicroglossidae.